UUCAUCUUGUCGUUCGCUGGAGAGGGCUUCCCAGCUCUCCUGUUGGAAGGCUCUUGCUCAGUUCAAGCAGUGAUCUGCGAACCUGGGGCAGGACCAUCUCUUCGCACCACCAGGAAGCCUGCUCUGCAAGGUCUAAGGAGAAACCUCUUGAGCACAGGACUUGAAAUUUCCUUUUUGCCAAGCCGCCCUCUUGGAGGAGCGGGUACGCAGCAGCCUCGCGGCUUGCCAUCCAGGCCCGCAUCCUGCCAGCUAAAGCCUCGCGCUGGGACAGGUCUCAUCUUGUGCUGGCUCGGGCAGCCACCAGGCCCGAGGCUUCUCCACAAGAGUCUG
This is a long non-coding RNA of Manis pentadactyla (Chinese pangolin), 330 nucleotides long. RefSeq lists it as uncharacterized. The record is from RefSeq and is a predicted model, not a curated record. NCBI's taxonomy places the organism in Eukaryota, Metazoa, Chordata, Mammalia, Pholidota, Manidae. The transcript has 3 exons.